AGUCGAACGAGCGAGAGAGAGCUUGCUUUCUCAAUCGAGUGGCGAACGGGUGAGUAACGCGUGAGGAACCUGCCUCAAAGAGGGGGACAACAGUUGGAAACGACUGCUAAUACCGCAUAAGCCCACAGCUCGGCAUCGAGCAGAGGGAAAAGGAGUGAUCCGCUUUGAGAUGGCCUCGCGUCCGAUUAGCUGGUUGGUGAGGUAACGGCCCACCAAGGCGACGAUCGGUAGCCGGACUGAGAGGUUGAACGGCCACAUUGGGACUGAGACACGGCCCAGACUCCUACGGGAGGCAGCAGUGGGGAAUAUUGCACAAUGGGGGAAACCCUGAUGCAGCGACGCCGCGUGGAGGAAGAAGGUCUUCGGAUUGUAAACUCCUGUUGUUGAGGAAGAUAAUGACGGUACUCAACAAGGAAGUGACGGCUAACUACGUGCCAGCAGCCGCGGUAAAACGUAGGUCACAAGCGUUGUCCGGAAUUACUGGGUGUAAAGGGAGCGCAGGCGGGAAAGCAAGUUGGAAGUGAAAUCCAUGGGCUCAACCCAUGAACUGCUUUCAAAACUGUUUUUCUUGAGUAGUGCAGAGGUAGGCGGAAUUCCCGGUGUAGCGGUGGAAUGCGUAGAUAUCGGGAGGAACACCAGUGGCGAAGGCGGCCUACUGGGCACCAACUGACGCUGAGGCUCGAAAGUGUGGGUAGCAAACAGGAUUAGAUACCCUGGUAGUCCACACUGUAAACGAUGAUUACUAGGUGUUGGAGGAUUGACCCCUUCAGUGCCGCAGUUAACACAAUAAGUAAUCCACCUGGGGAGUACGACCGCAAGGUUGAAACUCAAAGGAAUUGACGGGGGCCCGCACAAGCAGUGGAGUAUGUGGUUUAAUUCGACGCACCGCGAAGAACCUUACCAAGUCUUGACAUCCUGCGACGGUGCUG
This 929-nucleotide ribosomal RNA is filed under the name Faecalibacterium prausnitzii. RNAcentral's name for it is "bacterial SSU rRNA". It matches the Rfam family "Bacterial small subunit ribosomal RNA", at positions 60 to 1002 of the family's 1533-position model. Lineage: Bacteria; Bacillati; Bacillota; Clostridia; Eubacteriales; Oscillospiraceae. The record is from RNAcentral.